UACAGAGGGUGCGAGCGUUAAUCGGAAUUACUGGGCGUAAAGCGUGCGUAGACGGUUAUUUAAGUCGGAUGUGAAAGCCCCGGGCUCAACCUGGGAAUUGCAUUCGAGACUGAAUAGCUAGGGUGCGGUAGAGGGUAGCGGAAUUCCCAGUGUAGCGGUGAAAUGCGUAGAUAUUGGGAGGAACACCAGUGGCGAAGGCGGCUACCUGGACCGGUUCUGACGCUGAUGCGCGAAAGCUAGGGGAGCAAACGGG
RNAcentral lists this ribosomal RNA (253 nucleotides) under uncultured bacterium. RNAcentral's name for it is "partial 16S ribosomal RNA". It matches the Rfam family "Bacterial small subunit ribosomal RNA", at positions 524 to 776 of the family's 1533-position model. The record is from RNAcentral.